AGAGUUUGAUCCUGGCUCAGAACGAACGCUGGCGGCAGGCUUAACACAUGCAAGUCGAGCGCCCCGCAAGGGGAGCGGCAGACGGGUGAGUAACGCGUGGGAAUCUACCUUUUGCUACGGAAUAACUCAGGGAAACUUGUGCUAAUACCGUAUGUGCCCUUCGGGGGAAAGAUUUAUCGGCAAAGGAUGAGCCCGCGUUGGAUUAGCUAGUUGGUGAGGUAAAGGCUCACCAAGGCGACGAUCCAUAGCUGGUCUGAGAGGAUGAUCAGCCACACUGGGACUGAGACACGGCCCAGACUCCUACGGGAGGCAGCAGUGGGGAAUAUUGGACAAUGGGCGCAAGCCUGAUCCAGCCAUGCUGCGUGAGUGAUGAAGGCCCUAGGGUUGUAAAGCUCUUUCACCGGUGAAGAUAAUGACGGUAACCGGAGAAGAAGCCCCGGCUAACUUCGUGCCAGCAGCCGCGGUAAA
Molecule: ribosomal RNA, 468 nt
Filed under: uncultured Ochrobactrum sp.
Lineage: Bacteria; Pseudomonadati; Pseudomonadota; Alphaproteobacteria; Hyphomicrobiales; Brucellaceae
Description: bacterial SSU rRNA
Rfam family: Bacterial small subunit ribosomal RNA
Source: RNAcentral